CCUACGGGCGGCAGCAGUGAGGAAUAUUGGUCAAUGGACGAGAGUCUGAACCAGCCAAGUAGCGUGAAGGAUGACUGCCCUAUGGGUUGUAAACUUCUUUUAUAUGGGAAUAAAAUGUUCCACGUGUGGGAUUUUGUAUGUACCAUAUGAAUAAGGAUCGGCUAACUCCGUGCCAGCCGCCGCGGUAAUACGGAGGAUCCGAGGGUUAUCCGGAUUUAUUGGGUUUAAAGGGAGCGUAGGUGGAUUUUUAAGUCAGUUGUGAAAGUUUGCGGCUCAACCGUACAAUGGCAGUUGAAACUGGCAGUCUUGAGUACAGUAGAGGUGGGCGGAAUUCGUGGUGUAGCGGUGAAAUGCUUAGAUAUCACGAAGAACACCGAUUGCGAAGGCAGCUCACUGGACUGCAACUGACACUGAGGCUCGAAAGUGUGGGUAUCAAACAGGAUUAGAUACCCGAGUAGUC
This 460-nucleotide ribosomal RNA is filed under the name uncultured bacterium. RNAcentral describes it as "partial 16S ribosomal RNA". It matches the Rfam family "Bacterial small subunit ribosomal RNA", at positions 338 to 795 of the family's 1533-position model. The record is from RNAcentral.